Non-coding RNA from Saimiri boliviensis boliviensis (Bolivian squirrel monkey), 111 nucleotides. The record is from Ensembl. NCBI's taxonomy places the organism in Eukaryota, Metazoa, Chordata, Mammalia, Primates, Cebidae.
CUGCCUGACCUGUACCAUUUCUGCUCCCCGUGCUCAGUCCUAACAGGGUAGUCUGGCAGGACACACAGCGAUCUCCCUCUCAGUUUAGGAAGGCUGGCAAGAGAGGAUAAU